UGCGGAAGGAUCAUUACAGAGUUCAUGCCCGAAAGGGUAGACCUCCCACCCUUGUGUAUUAUUACUUUGUUGCUUUGGCGAGCUGCCUUCGGGCCUUGUAUGCUCGCCAGAGAAUACCAAAACUCUUUUUAUUAAUGUCGUCUGAGUACUAUAUAAUAGUUAAAACUUUCAACAACGGAUCUCUUGGUUCUGGCAUCGAUGAAGAACGCAGCGAAAUGCGAUAAGUAAUGUGAAUUGCAGAAUUCAGUGAAUCAUCGAAUCUUUGAACGCACAUUGCGCCCCUUGGUAUUCCGGGGGGCAUGCCUGUUCGAGCGUCAUUUCAACCCUCAAGCUUAGCUUGGUAUUGAGUCUAUGUCAGUAAUGGCAGGCUCUAAAAUCAGUGGCGGCGCCGCUGGGUCCUGAACGUAGUAAUAUCUCUCGUUACAGGUUCUCGGUGUGCUUCUGCCAAAACCCAAAUUUUUCUAUGGUUGACCUCGGAUCAGGUAGGGAUACCCGCUGAACUUAAGCAUAUCAAAA
This 516-nucleotide ribosomal RNA is filed under the name Botrytis cinerea. RNAcentral's name for it is "eukaryotic LSU rRNA". The stretch from base 164 to 317 matches the Rfam family "5.8S ribosomal RNA". The record is from RNAcentral. Lineage: Eukaryota; Fungi; Ascomycota; Leotiomycetes; Helotiales; Sclerotiniaceae.